GAGGACUGUCAAGAAGAUCUCUGCUCUUCUCCUUUGGAGUGCUGGCAGCAAAGGAAGACAAUUGGGCUGCAGAACUACAGAGCUGAAUAUGCUUGUUGCCUCCUUCACCACCAGGAACAAAAUAGAAGCAGAGCUGCCACGUGUCCUGAAAGUAUGAAGGGUCUCCUUCCCUGAUUUGUACAUCCCCCUGGUACCUGUCACCAUUCCUUGCACCUUGCCCAGAGAUGUACAUAAGAAAUUAAUUCCUCUCAGUGGUGAUGGACCACAGCAGAAGACAAAUACCACUACCGAAGACUGGAGUGACUGAAGUCUAACAGAGGUGAUAUGAGGUGGAAGGCCUAAAUAUAAAACAGGACAGACACUGACUUUGACAUUGAUGGUUUUGACCAUCCUCAUCUGACUCAGGAUUUGCUCAAUGAGCUCUCUUAGCUUGGUGCUUUAUGUAUUCUUUUCACAGGUGAAGAAAUUCUGUCUGAAUGUUUCAAAAACCCCUUGCAUACUGGGGAGUUAAUUGAGAAAGCUUAAGUUAAAUAAGUGCAGAGAUUUAAUGCAUUGAUGAACUAGGUUAUCAGCUGAUAUCCCAAUUGUCUGAAAUAUUCAUCUAUCUGAACAGCAUGUAGAAGUUGUGUUCAUUCCCACAAUUGUUCAGCUUUUUACCAAUCAUGCGGUUUUAGCCACAGUAAUAAUUCAUUUGGAAGACCUUGGAGACAAACAUUAUUCAAAUCACUUGAUCCAUUUACUAAGUUGUUGAAAAGUGAACAAGAGCACUGUUUGACGUAUCUUUUCCUUUCCCUUUUUUUUUUUUUUUUUUUUUUAAUCAUGAAUUGAGGAAUUGAAUU
Cygnus olor (mute swan) is the source of this 839-nucleotide long non-coding RNA. RefSeq lists it as uncharacterized. The transcript has 3 exons. The record is from RefSeq and is a predicted model, not a curated record. NCBI's taxonomy places the organism in Eukaryota, Metazoa, Chordata, Aves, Anseriformes, Anatidae.